Rattus norvegicus (Norway rat) is the source of this 105-nucleotide small nuclear RNA. NCBI's taxonomy places the organism in Eukaryota, Metazoa, Chordata, Mammalia, Rodentia, Muridae. The record is from Ensembl.
GUGCUCUCUUGGGCAGCACAUACACUAAAAUUGGAACGACAGAGAAGAUUAGCAUGGUCCCUGUGCAAGGAUGACACACAAAUUUGUGAAGUGUUCCAUAAUUAA